UCAAGAAACUCUCUCCCUCUUUCAUACCCACAGGUCCAACACCAAAAGAAAGAAAAUCUCUCAACUCUUCUCUCCCUCCCACACCUACGAGUCCAGCAACAAGGAAAAAGAUGGUUCGUAAUACUUUAUAGGUAGUUCUAGAAGCCAGAUCCAUAUAGCCACUAAGGAGAGACUUGCAAAAGAUGGUCAGAAGUCUAGCUCCCAAGACCUGAUAGAUAAGUAGUGGCUGCUCACAAACCAAGGUCCACCUUUUAUAACAUUCACGUAGUCCUCCUUCAAAGAGAAUAUGACGAGAAAAAAGUCUUUUCCGAGGCUGACACAGUCAAGCUUGCUGACUGGACGCCACAUAUUAAGAAGCCAUGGAUGUAAGAACUGGUAACCCAUCGGCUUGCCAAAAACUUUAACGAUAAGUGCGCUGGACCACUAAGCACGGAUGUGCACCUUUGUUUCUUUUGAAAAGUUAACCACUUUCAUACCUCUCGAUAGGUCGGAGAAGUCAUCAUCGGAUUCUACACUAGUGUCCAUCUCUCGGUCAAACUCAAAAGCUUGCUCAUAAGCUCCAGGAAUUUCUCUCAACAGCUUUGCUUUGUACGAGCCUUCCAUUCCUUCAAGACCAGAGGCUCCAUUCCUAUGGUUUUCCUUCACUUUCUUGGUGCUUCUUUGAAGUUCUUCAUCUUCUUCACGAGACUAUACAACAGUGUCCUUGCUUGUGUCUCACACGAUCUUCGUUCACAUUGUGUUAAAUAUUGUUAUACAUUCACUGUUACGGAAACCUACAUGUAUCCACAGUGUCAGUGUUAUUUUCUAUUUUGCAAUGUGAUUCUCUUUUAUAGAGUUUUGUUUAUAUACUGACAACACAACUCUAGGGUAGAAUCCCAAGACUUACUCCAUUUUGUAUAUGAUUUUUUUCUUUUUCUUUUUUUUCAUAAAUUUGAUGGUUAUAAUGGGAGACGAGAGAUUUAAAUCCUGGAUAUCUUCCUUAUAAAUACUAAGAGCAUUUGCAGCAGUGGAGCUAUAUAGGUAUAAUGGUAUAUUUUUAGCUUUUUAUCACAAAAAACACCAUGCAGCAAUGGAGCUAAAUCUAAAAGAUUUAGCUCCUCAGCUACAGUGCACAUCUAAAAAUAGAUGUGCACUGUAGCUCACAGGUAAAAAAAAAAAUACUUUUUUAUUACAAUUCUCUCUCCUCUCCAAUUAAAUAUACAUUUCCUAUUUUCUCUCUCUCUCUAUCCGGCUUCUCUCUUUCUUCUUUCUUCCUCAAUUUUUUUUUCUUUCUUCCUCAAUUUUUUUUCCUCUCUUUCUCGCCGGCCAGCUCCCUCGUCUCCCUCAUCCCUCAGCUCGCCGACCAACUCCCUCAACGCCGAUCUGUUCCGCCGGCCCAGCUCGCCGACCCACCCCAAGCCCCAUCGCCCACAUUGAUUCUGAUGACGAUUCCGACGAGGAAGCCCCCGACGCUGCAAACACUGAAACUCCGAUGAAGACGACUCCUCCAUUCGCACCUUCACCGCAGCUCGCCUCGACGCCGCCAACGCGGGUGGAGGCUCCGGUUCGGCUCAGCUCGAAACACGCAGAUCAAGACGGAGAAUCUGAGCUCCUCCGCCACGGUUAAGAUCAAGAAUCUGGGUCCCACAGCUCAGGCCGGGAGCUCGGUGCCUGGAAUCGUUGUU
Molecule: long non-coding RNA, 1664 nt
Organism: Quercus robur (English oak)
Lineage: Eukaryota; Viridiplantae; Streptophyta; Magnoliopsida; Fagales; Fagaceae
Exons: 2
Source: RefSeq, a predicted model, not a curated record